UACGAAGGGGGCUAGCGUUGUUCGGAAUUACUGGGCGUAAAGGGCGCGUAGGCGGCCUGCUAAGUCGAACGUGAAAUCCCCGGGCUCAACCCGGGAACUGCGUCCGAUACUGGCAGGCUUGAAUCCGGGAGAGGGAUGCGGAAUUCCAGGUGUAGCGGUGAAAUGCGUAGAUAUCUGGAGGAACACCGGUGGCGAAGGCGGCAUCCUGGACCGGCAUUGACGCUGAGGCGCGAAAGCCAGGGGAGCAAACGGG
RNAcentral lists this ribosomal RNA (253 nucleotides) under uncultured bacterium. Its description in RNAcentral is "partial 16S ribosomal RNA". It matches the Rfam family "Bacterial small subunit ribosomal RNA", at positions 524 to 776 of the family's 1533-position model. The record is from RNAcentral.